GGAAGGAAUCCCAAGGAGGUAUAAAUGGAAACAAAGAUGCUGACAAAAGAAAGGCCUGUCAAGGACCCCAGAAGAGUCAUGGCUGUGACACAUCUACGUGGACCAAACUCUGUGGAUAUAUCUGCAUCAGUCAUGAGCAGACACAAUUCUUCAUUCCUCAUGUGAUCCCACAUUGCUUCCUCCAGAGAUCUGCAAACCAGGUAGAUUAUUGGUUCCCAACUCUUAUGCUUGUAAAGUGUGGAUAAAUAGAAAAAAAAAAAAAUUAAUCUUUUCAUAGAAAACAUUAUUUUCCCUAAUACUGGUAAAUGUGUCCCAAUGAUUGUUAAAUGUUACUAAUUGAAGAUCUGAUAUGGAAGUAUUUACUGGAGUAUCAUCUUUCUGCUGUUAUUAAAUACGUCUUUGUAUAUCUGAUUUUAUUAAAAUUCAAUUUUAACUAGCAUUUCAUAGUUGACCCUGCCUCUGACAGGGAGGUUGGGCUAGAUGGGCUGGGACCUUCAGAGAAUGUCCCCAGCCUGAAUUAUUCUGCGACUAAAUUGUUGCACAUGUAAUUGCAAAGAUCCAUGAAAUAGAAUGUGACAAUCCAGGUUUACCCCAAGAAAAAGACCCCACAGAAUUGCUGCAGUUAAAGAGAUUUAUCCCUUUCUCAGUGACUUUUGAAACACUCACCUAUUUAUGGGUAUUGGU
Molecule: long non-coding RNA, 684 nt
Filed under: Taeniopygia guttata (zebra finch)
Lineage: Eukaryota; Metazoa; Chordata; Aves; Passeriformes; Estrildidae
Description: lncRNA (ENSTGUG00000026959.1)
Source: RNAcentral